AUGAGUCACCAGUUCCAGCAAAAUAAAGACGGUGGUAGCAGAAAAUUGGUUUGGUUCCAGCAAAAUCUGAAGAUGGUAGUAGCAAAAAUUGGGGCUGAUUGUAAAAAAAAUGGUUACAACUGUGUGCGUCGCAUAUCCAUCCGAUCGUGGUCACCACCGUCGGGGUGUGGUCACAUCCGCCAGGAUGGCCUCCCGCUGGUUGCAGCUUCGCCAUGGAUGGUUGCAACUAUUCGUAGCGAGGUCGUAGCUCUGCGCCGCCGAAGUACUAUCGAAAGCACGAGCGAACGUUGGUUCCAGCACCAGAGGUUGCCGGUUCCAGCAUCUCUGCAUGCGGUUCCAGCAAACGUGACGGCCGGAUGCAACACCGCCGAUGAGCAAGAAAACACACUAGUUCCAGCAAAAGUCGCCGGUCGUAGCUCACGACCGCGCGGGAGGAAGACGAGGAUAGGGACAGCCAUGGCCGCAAGCAACCGUGGACAUGACGACGGAGAAAAAAAUGAUGACAAUGGGGCUUGCAGCACUCCGGUGCGUCCCCCUCAGCCCUCGCAGUAG
RNAcentral lists this ribosomal RNA (552 nucleotides) under Triticum aestivum (bread wheat). RNAcentral's name for it is "partial small subunit ribosomal RNA". Lineage: Eukaryota; Viridiplantae; Streptophyta; Magnoliopsida; Poales; Poaceae. The record is from RNAcentral.